This 253-nucleotide ribosomal RNA is filed under the name uncultured bacterium. RNAcentral's name for it is "partial 16S ribosomal RNA". It matches the Rfam family "Bacterial small subunit ribosomal RNA", at positions 524 to 776 of the family's 1533-position model. The record is from RNAcentral.
UACGUAGGUGGCAAGCGUUGUCCGGAUUUAUUGGGCGUAAAGCGAGCGCAGGCGGUUCCUUAAGUCUGAUGUGAAAGCCCCCGGCUCAACCUGGGAGAGUCAUUGGAAGCUGGGGAACUUGAGUGCAAUAGAGGAGAGUGGAAUUCCAUGUGUAGCGGUGAAAUGCGUAGAUAUAUGGAGGAACACCAGUGGCGAAGGCGACUCUCUGGUCUGUAACUGACGCUGAGGCUCGAAAGCGUGGGUAGCAAACAGG